AGCGAACGCUGGCGGCAGGCCUAACACAUGCAAGUCGAACGAACCUUUCGGGGUUAGUGGCGGACGGGUGAGUAACACGUGGGAACGUGCCUUUAGGUUCGGAAUAACUCAGGGAAACUUGUGCUAAUACCGAAUGUGCCCUUCGGGGGAAAGAUUUAUCGCCUUUAGAGCGGCCCGCGUCUGAUUAGCUAGUUGGUUGAGGUAAUGGCUCACCAAGGCGACGAUCAGUAGCUGGUCUGAGAGGCUGAUCAGCCACAUUGGGACUGAGACACGGCCCAAACUCCGACGGGAGGAAGCAGUGGGGAAUGUUGAGCAAUGGGCGAAAGCCUGACGCAGCCAUGCCGCGUGAAUGAUGAAGGUCUUAGGAUUGUAAAAUUCUUUCACCGGGGACGAUAAUGACGGUACCCGGAGAAGAAGCCCCGGCUAACUUCGUG
This 434-nucleotide ribosomal RNA is filed under the name uncultured bacterium. Its description in RNAcentral is "partial 16S ribosomal RNA". It matches the Rfam family "Bacterial small subunit ribosomal RNA", at positions 29 to 507 of the family's 1533-position model. The record is from RNAcentral.